UUUAUCCAUAUUGAACCCUUUAAUUGUACUGAGAACUUCUAUACUAUAUAGAAUUUUUUAUGCUAAAACUAGUAACAAGAGAUACCCCUCUCCCUAGUGUAAAUGUAAGUCAGCAAGAACCCAUCACUGACAACUAACAGAUUUAAACAAAAGUAGUAACUCCACAAGAAAACCCCACUUUUUCUCCUGUUAACCUAACACAAGAACACUUCAAGAAAGAUUAAAAGAAAAAGAAGGAACUCGGCAAAACCUAGCCCCGCCUGUUUACCAAAAACAUCGCCUCUUGAUUACCUCUAUAAGAGGUCUUGCCUGCCCAGUGACUCUGUUCAACGGCCGCGGUACCCUAACCGUGCGAAGGUAGCGUAAUCACUUGUUUUCUAAAUAAAGACCAGUAUGAAAGGCGUCACGAGGGUUAAACUGUCUCCUCUUUCUAAUCAGUGAACCUAAUCUUCCCGUGAAGAAGCGGGAAUUACCCCAUAAGACGAGAAGACCCUGUGGAGCUUAAAACAUCAUAACACUGCUAACAAAUACCAAUAUUCAGAUACCCCCUCCCUCAAAGCACGAUGAUUAUAAGUUUUUGGUUGGGGUGACCGCGGAGAAAAAUUAAACCUCCACUAUGAAAAGAGCCCUCCUUAACAAUAAGCUACAACCUUAUGUAUCAACAAAUUGACAUUAUUGACCCAACAAAUUGAUCAACGAACCAAGUUACCCCAGGGAUAACAGCGCAAUCCACUUUGAGAGCUCUUAUCGACAAGUGGGCUUACGACCUCGAUGUUGGAUCGGGAUAUCCUAGUGGUGCAGCCGCUACUUAAGGUUCGUUUGUUCAACGAUUAAAAUCCUACGUG
This 845-nucleotide ribosomal RNA is filed under the name Pristimantis jaguensis. RNAcentral describes it as "partial 16S ribosomal RNA". It matches the Rfam family "Bacterial large subunit ribosomal RNA", at positions 1527 to 2602 of the family's 2925-position model. The record is from RNAcentral. Lineage: Eukaryota; Metazoa; Chordata; Amphibia; Anura; Strabomantidae.